Molecule: ribosomal RNA, 312 nt
Filed under: Triticum aestivum (bread wheat)
Lineage: Eukaryota; Viridiplantae; Streptophyta; Magnoliopsida; Poales; Poaceae
Description: partial small subunit ribosomal RNA
Source: RNAcentral
AUGGGCCCGGGGCGCAUCUGCAGGGCACUGCCAGAAGAAGUGAGCACCGGGAAGCAACAACGUCGCAGCCAUGCCGAAAUGCCUCCCCACGAACCCAGCAGCCUCCGCCCACACGGGCGCCUUGAAGAAGACCUCUCGGAAGACGCAGAGCUCCAUGAGCGGCCUGUCCUCACCGAAGAUGAACUGGAUGGCGUCGAGACGGGCCGAGAUCCGAGCCUCCCGGCUAUGGCAGCAGCGCAUGGCUCGUCGGCGUUGGGAAGGCAUCCAGGCGGCGGAGCUCCACAGGAAGACACAUGGGAGGGGCGGAUCUAG